RNAcentral lists this non-coding RNA (30 nucleotides) under Rattus norvegicus (Norway rat). Lineage: Eukaryota; Metazoa; Chordata; Mammalia; Rodentia; Muridae. The record is from RNAcentral.
UGGGUAUGUUGCUUUAAUUGCCCCCAUGGC